Molecule: ribosomal RNA, 503 nt
Filed under: uncultured bacterium
Lineage: Bacteria
Description: bacterial SSU rRNA
Rfam family: Bacterial small subunit ribosomal RNA
Source: RNAcentral
ACAACGCUGGCGGCGCGCCUAAUGAAUGCGAGUCGAACGAGAAGCAGACAGUUGAUCUCUUCGGAGUGAUUCAGUCUGUGGAAAGUGGCGAACGGGUGAGUAACACGUGGGUAACCUACCUCCGAGACGGGGACAACACAGGGAAACUUGUGCUAAUACCCGAUGGUCUACCGGUGCACAUGUACCGGAUAGUAAAUGGUCAGCCGCUCGGAGAUGGGCCCGCGGCCCAUUAGCUAGUUGGUGAGGUAACGGCUCACCAAGGCGACGAUGGGUAGCCGGUCUGAGAGGAUGAUCAGCCACACUGGAACUGAGACACGGUCCAGACUCCUACGGGAGGCAGCAGUGGGGAAUUUUGGACAAUGGGCGCAAGCCUGAUCCAGCCAUUCCGCGUGCAGGAUGAAGGCCUUCGGGUUGUAAACUGCUUUUGUACGGAACGAAACGGUCUGCCCUAAUACGGCGGGCUAAUGACGGUACCGUAAGAAUAAGCACCGGCUAACUACGUG